UGCAAGUCGAGCGGGGACGGUAGCUUGGUUCCUGACCUACCGGGGGACGGGUGAGUAAUGCUUAUGAAUCUGCCGAUUCUUGGGGGAGGAUAUUCCCAAAGGAAUGCUAAUACCGCAUACGCCCUACGGGGGAAAGCAGGGGAUCUUCUGACCUUGCUCUCAGUUGGGGAUGGGCUCAGAUUAUCUAGUUGGUGGGGUAAAGGCCUACCUCGGCGAGCUCUGUAGGGGUCUGGCCUGAUGAUCCGACACGCUGGGACUGAAACACGGCCCAGACUCCAACCGGAGGCAACGCUGGGGAAUAUAGGACAAUGGGCGAAAGCCUGAUCCAACCAUGCCGCGUGUGUGAAGAAAGCCUUUUGGUUGUAUUGCACUUUACUCUAGGAGGAGGCUACCGAGAUUAAUACUCUUGGAUAGUGGACGUUACUCGCACAAUAAGCACCGGCUAACUCUGUGCCAUCAGCCGCGGUAAUACUCAGGGUGCAAGCGUUAAUCGGAUUUACUGGGCGUAAAGCCUGCUUAGGCGGCUUUUUAAGUCGGAUGUGAACUCCCUGACCUUAACUUCGGAAUUGCAUUCGAUACUGGGAAGCUAUAGUAUGUGAGAGGAUGGUAGAAUUCCGCGUGUAUCGGUGAAAUGCGUAGAGAUCUGGAGGAAUACCGAUGGCGAAUGCAUCCAUCUGACCUAAUACUGACUCUGAAGUACGAAAGCAUGGAGAGCAAACAAGACUACAUACCCUGGUAGUCCAUGCCGUAAACGAUGUCUACCCACCCGAUUGGGGUCCUUUUGAGGCUAUUACAUUGACAGCAGCUCAACGCUGAUGAAGUACACGCCGCCUGGGGCAGUUAACUGUUCCAGACAGAGACUAAACACGUUCAACACUCGAAAUCU
This 886-nucleotide ribosomal RNA is filed under the name Acinetobacter johnsonii. RNAcentral's name for it is "bacterial SSU rRNA". It matches the Rfam family "Bacterial small subunit ribosomal RNA", at positions 56 to 873 of the family's 1533-position model. Lineage: Bacteria; Pseudomonadati; Pseudomonadota; Gammaproteobacteria; Moraxellales; Moraxellaceae. The record is from RNAcentral.